AAAAGAGUGGAUUGGUGGGAACUGGAGUUAGAUGGCUGCUGCAAGGACCAGGAUCAGUCAGUGUUUAGAUGAGAUGCCUAUGAGAAACAUCGGGGAGCUCCUUUUGGAAUUUGCACUAUCUGCCUCUCCGUGCUUAUCAGAUGACUUUGGUUCCCUUCUACCCCUCUACUGGAAGAGCUUUCGAUUCCAUCUCCAAGGAAAAUGCCCAUUAGUAAAAGCACCCAGCUGCUAGAGGCAACUGGGUUUCAGAGCUCCUGGGGUGUUUGUAGUGCUGUGAGAGAUGGAUCUCUCUGAUUAGCCCAAAUUACUUUCCUAGUUUUAAAAGAAAAGACAAAAGUUCCGUGGGAAGAGAUUCGAUAUAGAACUGGCUUCAGCUCCUUUAAGAAGUGAAGUGUACAUUGGUAUAUGUGUGUGUGAAAGAUGAGUUAAAGAACUACCAAGAGAGGAAAUAGGACAAAAGGGAAAUUAGGAGCAGGAGGGAAUUGCCAUGUGCAGCCUGGUCAAUACUGGGGUGUAAUGAGUGUAUUUUUGGUCCUUCCACAUUUCUUAAAAAAAAAAUAAAAUUUACCAGCUGAAGGAGACAAAAUGCUGCUGCUACCUUUUGAAAGAAACUAAAUUAUUAACAUAGCAGGUGUUAUCUGAAAAUCUGUAUGUUCAAGGGGCCUGAAUAGAGUUAAUUUUUAAACUGCUUGAAUUGUAAAAAAAAAAAAAAAAAUCCUGGUAAAAUGUUGUUUCCUCCUUAUAAUUUAGGCAUCACACAUAGGUACAGUUGUGUUGGGGAAAAUUCUCACAAGCCAUAAAAGUGGUUACAGAA
Molecule: long non-coding RNA, 814 nt
Organism: Zonotrichia leucophrys gambelii
Lineage: Eukaryota; Metazoa; Chordata; Aves; Passeriformes; Passerellidae
Exons: 2
Source: RefSeq, a predicted model, not a curated record